RNAcentral lists this ribosomal RNA (386 nucleotides) under Oryzias latipes (Japanese medaka). RNAcentral's name for it is "partial 12S ribosomal RNA". It matches the Rfam family "Bacterial small subunit ribosomal RNA", at positions 794 to 1384 of the family's 1533-position model. Lineage: Eukaryota; Metazoa; Chordata; Actinopteri; Beloniformes; Adrianichthyidae. The record is from RNAcentral.
GCAUAGCCGUAAACUUUGAUGAACUAUUACAUUAUCAUUCGCCAGGGUACUACGAGCACCAGCUUAAAACCCAAAGGACUUGGCGGUGCUUUAGACCCACCUAGAGGAGCCUGUUCUAGAACCGAUAACCCCCGUUAAACCUCACCCUCCCUUGUUCUUUCCGCCUAUAUACCGCCGUCGUCAGCUUACCCUGUGAAGGACAAAUAGUAAGCAAAACCAGUAACACUCAAAACGUCAGGUCGAGGUGUAGCAUAUGAGAGGGGAAGAAAUGGGCUACAUUCCUUGCUUCAAGGAAAACGGAUAAUAUAAUGAAACGUGUAUUAGAAGGAGGAUUUAGCAGUAAGCAGUAAAUAGAGAGUUCUGCUGAAACUGGCCCUGAAGCGCGC